RNAcentral lists this small RNA (80 nucleotides) under uncultured Ewingella sp. RNAcentral describes it as "CyaR/Rye RNA". It matches the Rfam family "CyaR/Rye RNA", at positions 13 to 83 of the family's 85-position model. Rfam says of the family: This sRNA was originally identified in a large scale screen of E. coli. It was shown to bind Hfq and called RyeE. This sRNA has since been characterised as a post-transcriptional regulator of the 18 kDa OmpX porin in Salmonella. The record is from RNAcentral. Lineage: Bacteria; Pseudomonadati; Pseudomonadota; Gammaproteobacteria; Enterobacterales; Yersiniaceae.
UAAACGAAUGAAAAAUAAAUUAUCGGACCACACUAAGCACCACCUCCUUGGCCGGCUCAAUCUCCCUUGAGCUGGCUUUU